UGGUUAAGUGACUAAGCGUACACGGUGGAUGCCUGGGCAGUCAGAGGCGAUGAAGGACGUACUAACUUGCGAUAAGCGCAGAUAAGGCAGUAAGAGCCGUUUGAGUCUGCGAUUUCCGAAUGGGGAAACCCAACUGCAUAAGCAGUUACUGUUAACUGAAUACAUAGGUUAACAGAGCAAACCGGGGGAACUGAAACAUCUAAGUACCCCGAGGAGAAGAAAUCAACCGAGAUUCCGGUAGUAGCGGCGAGCGAACCUGGAUUAGCCCUUAAGCACUCGGUGAAGUAGGUGAACAAGCUGGAAAGCUUGGCGAUACAGGGUGAUAGCCCCGUAACCGACGCUUCAUCGAGCGUGAAAUCGAGUAGGGCGGGACACGUGAUAUCCUGUCUGAAUAUGGGGGGACCAUCCUCCAAGGCUAAAUACUCCUGACUGACCGAUAGUGAACCAGUACCGUGAGGGAAAGGCGAAAAGAACCCCUGUGAGGGGAGUGAAAUAGAACCUGAAACCGUGUACGUACAAGCAGUAGGAGCACCUUCGUGGUGUGACUGCGUACCUUUUGUAUAAUGGGUCAGCGACUUAUAUUCAGUGGCAAGGUUAACCGUAUAGGGGAGCCGUAGCGAAAGCGAGUCUUAACUGGGCGCUCAGUCUCUGGAUAUAGACCCGAAACCGGGUGAUCUAGCCAUGGGCAGGUUGAAGGUUGAGUAACAUCAACUGGAGGACCGAACCGACUAAUGUUGAAAAAUUAGCGGAUGACUUGUGGCUAGGGGUGAAAGGCCAAUCAAACUCGGAGAUAGCUGGUUCUCCCCGAAAGCUAUUUAGGUAGCGCCUCGGACGAAUACUACUGGGGGUAGAGCACUGUUAAGGCUAGGGGGUCAUCCCGACUUACCAACCCUUUGCAAACUCCGAAUACCAGUAAGUACUAUCCGGGAGACACACGGCGGGUGCUAACGUCCGUCGUGGAGAGGGAAACAACCCAGACCGCCAGCUAAGGUCCCAAAGUAUUGCUAAGUGGGAAACGAUGUGGGAAGGCUCAGACAGCUAGGAUGUUGGCUUAGAAGCAGCCAUCAUUUAAAGAAAGCGUAAUAGCUCACUAGUCGAGUCGGCCUGCGCGGAAGAUGUAACGGGGCUAAGCA
RNAcentral lists this ribosomal RNA (1133 nucleotides) under Vibrio cholerae. RNAcentral's name for it is "partial 23S ribosomal RNA". It matches the Rfam family "Bacterial large subunit ribosomal RNA", at positions 1 to 1188 of the family's 2925-position model. Lineage: Bacteria; Pseudomonadati; Pseudomonadota; Gammaproteobacteria; Vibrionales; Vibrionaceae. The record is from RNAcentral.